UAAGAAAUCAGUUGAAGCUUCAGCACCAAUGGUCCUUGCAAUUAACAAAAUAGAUACUACUUCAUCUUUGCACAUGGAAUGGGUCGAUAAAUGCAGGAAUUCUUUUAGUAAACUUGUUUUUACUUCUGCUGUUACUGGUCAAGGAAUCCGAGAUCUAGAGAUGGCAAUUUCCGAGAUUAUGGGUCUGAACAGAAUACCUGCAGGGGGGCGGAAAUGGACAGUUAACCAGAGACAAUGCGAGCAGCUCGUGCGGACCAAGGAGGCACUCGCAAGGUUGAAAUCAUCAAUAGAGGAUGAAAUGCCUCUGGACUUUUGGACAAUUGAUUUAAGGGAUGCGG
This 338-nucleotide unclassified non-coding RNA is filed under the name Hevea brasiliensis (rubber tree). Lineage: Eukaryota; Viridiplantae; Streptophyta; Magnoliopsida; Malpighiales; Euphorbiaceae. The record is from RNAcentral.